GACGUAGGGCGCGAGCGUUGUCCGGAUUUAUUGGGCGUAAAGAGCUCGUAGGCGGCUUGUUGCGUCGACUGUGAAAACCCGGGGCUCAACCCCGGACUUGCAGUGGGUACGGGCAGACUAGAGUGUGGUAGGGGAGACUGGAAUUCCUGGUGUAGCGGUGAAAUGCGCAGAGUAUCAGGAGGAACACCGAUGGCGAAGGCAGGUCUCUGGGCCACUACUGACGCUGAGAAGCGAAAGCAUGGGGAGCGAACAGG
Molecule: ribosomal RNA, 254 nt
Filed under: uncultured bacterium
Lineage: Bacteria
Description: partial 16S ribosomal RNA
Rfam family: Bacterial small subunit ribosomal RNA
Source: RNAcentral